CCUACGGGAGGCAGCAGUGGGGAAUAUUGGACAAUGGGCGAAAGCCUGAUCCAGCCAUGCCGCGUGUGUGAAGAAGGCCUUCGGGUUGUAAAGCACUUUCAGUGGGGAAGAAAGCCUUGGGGCUAAUACCCUCGAGGAAGGACAUCACCCACAGAAGAAGCACCGGCUAACUCCGUGCCAGCAGCCGCGGUAAUACGGAGGGUGCGAGCGUUAAUCGGAAUUACUGGGCGUAAAGGGCGCGUAGGCGGUCUGAUAAGCCGGUUGUGAAAGCCCCGGGCUCAACCUGGGAACGGCAUCCGGAACUGUCAGGCUAGAGUGCAGGAGAGGAAGGUAGAAUUCCCGGUGUAGCGGUGAAAUGCGUAGAGAUCGGGAGGAAUACCAGUGGCGAAGGCGGCCUUCUGGACUGACACUGACGCUGAGGUGCGAAAGCGUGGGUAGCAAACAGGAUUAGAUACCCUUGUAGUC
This 465-nucleotide ribosomal RNA is filed under the name Vreelandella stevensii. RNAcentral's name for it is "partial 16S ribosomal RNA". It matches the Rfam family "Bacterial small subunit ribosomal RNA", at positions 338 to 795 of the family's 1533-position model. The record is from RNAcentral. Lineage: Bacteria; Pseudomonadati; Pseudomonadota; Gammaproteobacteria; Oceanospirillales; Halomonadaceae.